RNAcentral lists this ribosomal RNA (200 nucleotides) under uncultured bacterium. RNAcentral's name for it is "partial 16S ribosomal RNA". It matches the Rfam family "Bacterial small subunit ribosomal RNA", at positions 328 to 539 of the family's 1533-position model. The record is from RNAcentral.
ACGCUCGACACCUACGGGAGGCCGCAGUCGGGAAUAUUGCGCAAUGGAGGAAACUCUGACGCAGUGACGCCGCGUGCAGGAAGAAGGUUUUCGGAUUGUAAACUGCUUUAGACAGGGAAGAAAGAAUGACAGUACCUGUAGAAUAAGCUCCGGCUAACUACGUGCCAACAGCCGCGGUAAUCUGAGCGGGCUGGCAAGGC